Long non-coding RNA from Gopherus evgoodei (Goodes thornscrub tortoise), 557 nucleotides. RefSeq lists it as uncharacterized. The record is from RefSeq and is a predicted model, not a curated record. The transcript is spliced from 3 exons. Lineage: Eukaryota; Metazoa; Chordata; Testudines; Testudinidae.
GUUCAAAGCCCAGCUUCACCAGAGACUAGACUAGACCGGUAACCUGGGAGUGCUCUGGGAAGUGUCAAGGAGUUGCUCAUUACUAAGCUCAUUACUAAGAAGCUGGCCGAGCAGAGCAGUUUGUGGGAUGGCAAGUGGAGUUGAGCAGUUUGCGGGCCAGUUGGAGCGGCCUGUGGGAUGGUGAAUAGAGUGAAGCAGACGGCCGAUGGGACUGCAAGCGGAGCGGAGUGGAGCUAAGCAGCUGGCAGAGCAGAGCAGUUUGUGGGAUGGCGAGCAGAGCGGAGCGGAGCCGAGCUGAGCGGAGCAGUUUGCGGGCCGGUUGGAGCAGCCUGCGGGACGGCGAGCGGAGCAGAGCAGUUUGCGGGCCAGUUGGAGCGGCCUGCGGGACGGCGAGCAGAGCAGAGCAGAGCAGUUUUUAGGACGGCGGGAGCGGCUCACAGGAUGGCUGGUGGAGUGGAGCAGCUCGUGGUGAAGGCUGCAGCAGAAUCCCAUGGAGAGGCAAGGCAGUCGGCCUUGGACCAUAUAAGACCCAACAGUGGAAGAAGGCAGGAUGAAGA